RNAcentral lists this transfer RNA (63 nucleotides) under Curculionoidea sp. 19 KM-2017. RNAcentral describes it as "tRNA-Val". Lineage: Eukaryota; Metazoa; Arthropoda; Insecta; Coleoptera. The record is from RNAcentral.
CAAAUUAAAGCUUUAAUAAGUAUUUUAUUUACAUUAAAAAGAUUUUCUAUAGGAAUGAUUUGA